Unclassified non-coding RNA from Gopherus agassizii (Agassiz's desert tortoise), 170 nucleotides. The record is from Ensembl. NCBI's taxonomy places the organism in Eukaryota, Metazoa, Chordata, Testudines, Testudinidae.
UUGACAGCCCUUAAAAAGUGAAGUCCCCUCUUUAACUAAAGGACAAGAACAGCACUGGCAAAGCAAACUUACCCCCACUACCCAGCCAAUGUACCUCAACUCUGACCUGGAGGGACUACCUCUAGUGAGGAGAGGACAGUUCAGUCUCUGGCUGUAUCUAUUAGGUCUCU